CUUGCUAGGUGUCCUUAGUGGCGCACGGGUGAGUAACACGUGGGAACUUACCUCAGAGUACGGAAUAACUAUGGGAAACUAUAGCUAAUACCGUAUAUUCCGGAAACGGGAAAGAUUUAUCGCUCUGAGAUAGGCCCGCGCAAGAUUAGCUUGUUGGUGAGGUAAUGGCUCACCAAGGCUCCGAUCUUUAGCUGGUUUGAGAGGAUGAUCAGCCACACUGGGACUGAGACACGGCCCAGACUCCUACGGGAGGCAGCAGUAGGGAAUAUUGGACAAUGGGGGCAACCCUGAUCCAGCAAUGCAGCGUGAGUGACGAAGGCCUUAGGGUUGUAAAACUCUUUCAUCGGUGAGGAUAAUGACAGUAGCCGAAGAAGAAGGACCGGCUAAUUCCGUGCCAGCAGCCGCGGUAAUACGGAAGGUCCUAGCGUUGUUCGGAAUUACUGGGCGUAAAGCGCAUGUAGGCGGAACAGAAAGUUAGAAGUGAAAUCCCUGGGCUCAACCUAGGAAUUGCUUUUAAAACUUCUGUUCUGGAAUUAAGGAGAGGAAAAUGGAAUAUCCAGUGUAGAGGUGAAAUUCGUAGAUAUUGGAUGGAACACCAGUGGCGAAGGCGAUUUUCUGGACUUAUAUUGACGCUGAGAUGCGAAGGCAUGGGUAGCAAACGGGAUUAGAUACCCCGGUAGUCCAUGCAGUAAACGAUGGAUGCUAGUCGUCGGACUUAUGUUCGGUGUCGUAGCUAACGCGUUAAGCACCCCGCCUGGGGAGUACGGUCGCAAGAUUAAAACUCAAAUAAAUUGACGGGGACCCGCACAAGCAGUGGAGCAUGUGGUUUAAUUCGACGCAACGCGAAGAACCUUACCAG
This 859-nucleotide ribosomal RNA is filed under the name marine metagenome. Its description in RNAcentral is "bacterial SSU rRNA". It matches the Rfam family "Bacterial small subunit ribosomal RNA", at positions 77 to 977 of the family's 1533-position model. The record is from RNAcentral.